Molecule: ribosomal RNA, 537 nt
Filed under: Phagocata altaica
Lineage: Eukaryota; Metazoa; Platyhelminthes; Tricladida; Planariidae
Description: SSU rRNA
Rfam family: Eukaryotic small subunit ribosomal RNA
Source: RNAcentral
UCAUAUGCUUAUCUCAAAGAUUAAGCCAUGCAUGUCUAAGUACACAGACUAGUACUCUGAAACCGCGGAUGGCUCAUUAUAACAGCUAUGAUUUGAGAGAUUUAAUGCUUGCUACAGGAUAACUGUGGUAAUUCUAGAGCUAAUAUUUGAAAAAAUGCCGUGACUUCGGAAGCGGCGGAUUUAUUAGAUCAAAAUCAACCUACCGGCAACGGUGGUCUUUUGAUGACUCUGGAUAACUGAACUGAUCGUACAGCCUUGUGUUGACGACAUAUCUCUUGAAAUGGCUGACCUAUCAACUUUCGAUGGUAAGAUCAAAGCUUACCAUGGUUGUAACGGGUAACGGGGAAUCAGGGUUCGAUUCCGGAGAGGGAGCCUGAGAAACGGCUACCACAUCCACGGAAGGCAGCAGGCGCGUAAAUUACCCAAUACCAGCUCGGUGAGGUAGUGACAAUAAAUAACAAUAUGAGCCCUUGUGGUUUCAUAAUUGCAAUGAGAACAUUUUAAAUACUUUAUCAAGUAUCAAUUGGAGGGCAAGUC